AUAAUAUGGACUUGCAAAACACGGUAACUCCUUUCAUCAAAGCAAACUUGAUUCAGCUGCAAAAUCAAGAGAAAUCUGAAAACGGGUGAAUUUUUUUGUGAUUUUAGAUUUUAUUAAGGUUGUACAGAUCUUUUGCUCCAAGACUGCUCAUUCCAAGACUGCUUUUUAAUCUACUAGGUUCACUCCCAGCUUUGUUCAUCUCUCCAAGGACAACCACUUUUUCUCGUAGCACCACUGAAAACAUGACUAGAUUCUCUUUUAUAAUGAGCAAAUAAAUCAAGCUCUUCUUUGGAGAGAACCAUCUUCAUCUUUUUAAAAAUAUGCUUCCUGAAACCAUGUGUUCAGUCUUUCACAUAUAUGUUUUAAUGGUCUAAACUAUAGAUAAAAUUACAUGAUGCAGUUUUAGCAUUUUCUAGGCAUUAUUUUUCAUGGCCCUAAGUGAGGGAAUAUCUCAGGUGGCUCCUUCCACCUUCUUCCUAGCUCUUGAUUUUCCCACACACAUAAACGUAAAUUCCUUCCUAAAGUGCAGACUCAGUUGUGUUUCUAUAGUUCAGGGCAUGUCACCCUGUUAAAUUUUAAUGACAAUACGAUUGAAAUUUGGGGGAUUAACAACCACGUGGCAAUAAUUCAGCUGAUACCUACUUUAUUUGCACCAGUUCUUCCAGCCUUCUCUGUACAAUGAAUAACUGAAAAGCACUGAAGAGCUGAAGGCUGUUUCUAGGAUACAAUGUGCAGCACUUCCUACUCUUGGCUCACUCUAACUUCAGCCUCUCAGCUCUGUCAUUUUUUUCUGUCUAUGAAUUUUAAAUAGUUUUUGCCACCAGAUAGUGAGCUGAAAGCAGUAGCAUUUGUCCCAACUGUGGGUGGGAUCACCUUGCUACCAUGGCAAAAUCGAAGGGGCUGAUCUUCACAAGGACUUUGAGAUAUCUGCCUUCAGGGUCACUCUGGGACACUCUGAAGUCUUACGGCCUCGGAGACUGUUUCCUCCUACAGAGGUACCUCUCUGAUCUAUGUAGUUGCGUUUACAUUGAGCUCCCAAACAGUGAAAUAACUUGUCAGCCUUAAACACUACAUAUGAUAGAGAAAAGUCAGUGGUAAUAACUUCUGAGUUGUGUGAAUGAAUCUAUAUAAGUGUCAUGAAUUAAAUGAAUGAUUAGCUACACACAGAAAGAUAUUUCCUCUUCCAGUUUCUUGAGAUUUUAUUAAUUCCUCAUAGGAUAAGUUACUAUGUUCUUCAUUUCAGAGAAAAAAAAAAAAAGUUUUUACUUCUGAAGUGUCCUCACUUCCCAGCAGGUAAAUACCAAAGGAUAAAGCACCUAAACACUAAGCAAAAUGACAGUUCACCCAUACCUUCCAACCUCAGCAUAAAUUAAGUUUUGGCUAGCUAUUGGUGUUUUGUAGGAAUUAUGCCUGCUCAGUUAUUUAUUUUUAUAUUGUAGCAACUUUUUAUCCUGAUUCCUGCAGAAAGAAGGCUGAUGCAAUCAUACUGUGUGUGCUUGUGUCUCCGUCACUUCCAUAUCCCUGAUAUCUUUUGAACCUAUUGACAAAUUUCAACCAAUUGAUCUCUCAAAGAAAAUUGAGUUCCUACAAGCUUUGUGAAAAUAGCCUGCCAGAGAGCCCUCUCACAGAGGAGUAGGCCAUAGUGCAAACAGGCCUCAUUUCAGACAACAGAGAAUCCACUUGUGAGAAAGUGUUUAUUGAUAAAUGUCUUUCCAUGGGGAGGGUCUCAGGGAGAGCUUGUUCUUUCUUCGAUCUGCAGUCAAUCAAGUCUGAGGCUCGGGUCACUUAGGAGCUAGGCAUCGUAGCACUGAUCCCAACAGCAUGUGGGGAUACUGCUUUGCAGUAAUUUACCAACUUCAUUUGCAAGCAUUUACCAACUUCGCUACGUUUAAACUAAAUAUUCUUAAAAACCACUUAAACCUCUCCUCUCCUCUCCUCUCCUCUCCUCUCCUCUCCUCUCCUCUCCUCUCCUCUCCUCUCC
This 1981-nucleotide long non-coding RNA is filed under the name Anas platyrhynchos platyrhynchos (common mallard). RNAcentral describes it as "lncRNA (ENSAPLG00000019043.1)". The record is from RNAcentral. Lineage: Eukaryota; Metazoa; Chordata; Aves; Anseriformes; Anatidae.